AGAGUUUGAUCAUGGCUCAGAUUGAACGCUGGCGGCAUGCCUUACACAUGCAAGUCGAACGGUAACAGGUCUUCGGAUGCCGACGAGUGGCGAACGGGUGAGUAAUACAUCGGAACGUGCCCAGUAAUGGGGGAUAGCUCGGCGAAAGCCGGAUUAAUACCGCAUACGCCCUGAGGGGGAAAGUGGGGGACCGCAAGGCCUCACGUUAUUGGAGCGGCCGAUGGCUGAUUAGCUAGUUGGUAGGGUAAAGGCCUACCAAGGCGACGAUCAGUAGCUGGUCUGAGAGGACGAUCAGCCACACUGGGACUGAGCCACGGCCCAGACUCCUACGGGAGGCAGCAGUGGGGAAUUUUGGACAAUGGGGGAAACCCUGAUCCAGCAAUGCCGCGUGUGCGAAGAAGGCCUUCGGGUUGUAAAGCACUUUUGUCAGGGAAGAAAUCCUUUGGGCUAAUACCCUAGGGGGAUGACGGUACCUGAAGAAUAAGCACCGGCUAACUACGUGCCAGCAGCCGCGGUAAUACGUAGGGUGCAAGCGUUAAUCGGAAUUACUGGGCGUAAAGCGUGCGCAGGCGGUUGUGUAAGACAGGUGUGAAAUCCCCGGGCUUAACCUGGGAAUUGCAUUUGUGACUGCACGACUAGAGUGUGUCAGAGGGGGGUGGAAUUCCACGUGUAGCAGUGAAAUGCGUAGAUAUGUGGAGGAACACCAAUGGCGAAGGCAGCCCCCUGGGAUAACAUUGACGCUCAUGCACGAAAGCGUGGGGAGCAAACAGGAUUAGAUACCCUGGUAGUCC
RNAcentral lists this ribosomal RNA (791 nucleotides) under uncultured bacterium. RNAcentral's name for it is "bacterial SSU rRNA". It matches the Rfam family "Bacterial small subunit ribosomal RNA", at positions 8 to 796 of the family's 1533-position model. The record is from RNAcentral.